RNAcentral lists this ribosomal RNA (732 nucleotides) under uncultured bacterium. Its description in RNAcentral is "bacterial SSU rRNA". It matches the Rfam family "Bacterial small subunit ribosomal RNA", at positions 60 to 808 of the family's 1533-position model. The record is from RNAcentral.
CGACGGGUUGCUAUUUUGUAGCAAUACAGAAUAGCGCUAGUGGCGAACGGGUGAGUAAUACAAAAGUAACUUUCCUUAGAGUGAAGAAUAAUCUCGAGAAAUCGUGACUAAUUCUUCAUAUUCUCAAUAGACAUAUGUCUAUUGAGGAAAGGCUUCGGCCGCUCUGAGAUAGGCUUUUGACCUAUCAGUUUGUUGGCGGGUUAACAGCCCACCAAGACUACGACGGGUAGGGGGUGUGAGAGCAUGACCCCCCACAUGGGAACUGCGACACGGUCCCAACUCCUACGGGAGGCAGCAGUCUAGAAAUUUGGGCAAUGGACGAAAGUCUGACCCAGCGACGCCGCGUGAGGGAUGAAGUCUCUCGGGAUGUAAACCUCUGUUGAGGGGAACGAUAAUGACGGUACCCCUCGAGGAAGCCUCGGCUAACUCCGUGCCAGCAGCCGCGGUAAUACGGAGGAGGCAAGCGUUGUCCGGAAUCACUGGGCGUAAAGGGUGUGUAGGUGUCCUGGUGGGUCAAGUGUGAAAUCCAACAGCUUAACUGUUGAAGUGCACAUGAAACUAUCGGGAUUGAGGACAUGAGGGGAGAGCGGAACUCGCGGUGUAGCGGUAGAAUGCGUGGAUAUCGCGAGGAAUGCCGAUGGCGAAGGCGGCUCUCUAGUAUGUUUCUCGUAUGAGAAGCUGAAUAAUUUUAAUCUUCGGGUUUUGAUUAAUCGGUCCUGACACUGAAACACG